AUGAUCCACCUUUUCUUUCACUCGCCUCUCCUCCAGCAAAUCUAUAAUGCAUUUAAUCUUCAGCAGUCACUCUCCUCAGUUUUUAAAUGUCUAAUUUGCUGCCGAGUGCAGCUCCAAUUCUCUCUGUGCCGCCGUUUUAACUCUCUGCCUUGUGUUUGCCCAAUUGCUUGUCUGCUUGGAUGGAGAGACCCGACUGCACCUGAUCCUUCGGAGAGAGGGAGGGGGAGAGAAGCUUACCGGAGGGCAGAGACUUCGCAGCGUCGUUGUCCAGGCAAACACCUUGGUGCUUUGGGAGACUACCUGCUUUGCUCACACCACAGCCAGCAGGCUGCUGUCAAGCAAGGCUUUCCCCUGUGCCAAGAGCAGGCUCCCCAGCCCUCGGCUGGCUGGAGCAGGCGUGCGGUGCCUGGGCCAUGCUGCCAGCACUGGCACGAAGCCUCCUUCAGCCCACAGCAAGGCAGGAGGUGGGGAUGGUUUCACCAAACCUCGUGGGUUUGUUCCCAAGCGCCCAGACUCGCUCUGACCCUUCCAAGGCUGCUCAGGCAGAACCUGUCCCCAGGAGCCCCCACCCCAGCCCUGGCAGCCCCUGACUGCUCUUCCUCUGUGCCCCACCAUCAUCCCCACUCAACCCGAGCAACCCAGUGUCACUGCUGUAACUGGCAGCCCCCAGCAUACUGGGGAUGCUGGGCACUGCCCUCCCACCCCACCUGUGCUCCCAGCUGCGGCCACUUCUCUGCCCCAUCUGAGAGCACUCAGCACCAGCCUGCGUGCCUGCUGCCAGCUGUGGGUGUUAAUGCCCUCUGCAGGGGCUGGUGGUGUGGCUGUUUGGGACUGCUCUGCAGGUAUCCACCAGACAAACAAUUUUGCGGGUGGAUCGUGUAUAUUUUACAAACUGUGCCAGCUGUUUGCUAUCUGCCUGUGAUCACUCGUAUUGUCCUGUUGUUAUUCCCUGGCUGGAAGAUGAAACCACUGUCAAGAGAAUGGAAAUCAGCAAAAAAAUGCAUCCCCAUAGAUUUAGCAAAUACUUUUAUGAGUUUCCAAGGCUCAUCUGACUAUUUGCUGGUAACAUAUGGCAACCGAUCAGGAUAUAGAAGUUGAGUUUAGAUAUGAUGAUCUAAAUAGUAUAGAAAUCUGAACACAGCAAAGCAGGAUGCUUGCUAUUAAGUCAAAAAAAAAAAAAAAAAGCGAGUAUCUAUUAUCACAUUAACUCUGCAGGCUCUAAAAUCAUUUGGAGGACCGUAUUUUCUAACCUAAAAGCUGGUUAUGAAAUGCUCCAUCUUUUCUGAAAAUACGUUGCUAUUGCCAGCUCUGAAUUCGGCAUUGAAAUGGGCAUGUUUAUUAUGUCAAGCUGCUGGAGUAAAUCUGCUGUAUUUAAAAGGUGGCAUUCGUCAGGCAUGAUGGGGAACACCUACAGCAGGAAGCAUUCCCUUCUGCAUGGUCAAGGGAGAGCGACCAGUGUCCUCCGAGAACUGUUAACGCACGUAACCUUUGUGGCUGAGGUGUCAACUGUAUUAAAGCACUUAGUUUUUAUAAAACACAAAAAUGGAAGCAUUGGUAUUAAUUUUUAUUAUAG
Molecule: long non-coding RNA, 1573 nt
Filed under: Anas platyrhynchos platyrhynchos (common mallard)
Lineage: Eukaryota; Metazoa; Chordata; Aves; Anseriformes; Anatidae
Description: lncRNA (ENSAPLG00000027997.1)
Source: RNAcentral